RNAcentral lists this transfer RNA (71 nucleotides) under Sphaerodactylus townsendi. RNAcentral's name for it is "tRNA-Ala". It matches the Rfam family "tRNA". Rfam says of the family: Transfer RNA (tRNA) molecules are approximately 80 nucleotides in length. Their secondary structure includes four short double-helical elements and three loops (D, anti-codon, and T loops). Further hydrogen bonds mediate the characteristic L-shaped molecular structure. tRNAs have two regions of fundamental functional importance: the anti-codon, which is responsible for specific mRNA codon recognition, and the 3' end, to which the tRNAs corresponding amino acid is attached (by aminoacyl-tRNA synthetases). tRNAs cope with the degeneracy of the genetic code in two manners: having more than one tRNA (with a specific anti-codon) for a particular amino acid; and 'wobble' base-pairing, i.e. permitting non-standard base-pairing at the 3rd anti-codon position. Lineage: Eukaryota; Metazoa; Chordata; Lepidosauria; Squamata; Sphaerodactylidae. The record is from RNAcentral.
GGGGCUGUAUCCAGUGGUGGAACAUCUGCUUGGCAUGCAGAAGGUUCUAGGUUCAAUCCUCAGCAUCCCCA